UGUCCCAUUUCAUUUUAUUCGCCUGUUUAUCAAAAACAUCGCCUCCUGAUUAAUAUAGGAGGUCCAGCCUGCCCAGUGACUCUGUUUAACGGCCGCGGUAUUCUAACCGUGCGAAGGUAGCGUAAUCACUUGUUCUUUAAAUGAGGACUAGUAUGAAUGGCAUCACGAGGGUUAUACUGUCUCCUUUUCCAAAUCAGUGAAACUAAUCUCCCCGUGAAGAAGCGGGGAUAAAAAUAUAAGACGAGAAGACCCUAUGGAGCUUAAAACUUUCAACAAUUAUAUUUUAUUUAUAAACCUAAAGGUAAUCAAACUAAUCCUUAUAAUAUGUGUGUUAGUUUUCGGUUGGGGUGACCGCGGAGUAAAACCUAACCUCCAUAUUGAAUUAAAUUAUUUAUUAGCAAAAAACUACAAUUUUAUGCAUCAAAAAAUUGACAUUAUUGACCCAAUAUUUUGAUCAACGAACCAAGUUACCCUAGGGAUAACAGCGCAAUCCAUCCCAAGAGCUCAUAUCGACGGAUGGGUUUACGACCUCGAUGUUGGAUCAGGAUAUCCUAGUGGUGCAGCCGCUACUAAAGGUUCGUUUGUUCAACGAUUAAAAUCCUACGUGAUCUGAUUCCAGACCGGA
RNAcentral lists this ribosomal RNA (625 nucleotides) under Mesobatrachia sp. G4.1. RNAcentral describes it as "partial 16S ribosomal RNA". It matches the Rfam family "Bacterial large subunit ribosomal RNA", at positions 1777 to 2620 of the family's 2925-position model. RNAcentral also lists the same sequence under 6 other names. Lineage: Eukaryota; Metazoa; Chordata; Amphibia; Anura. The record is from RNAcentral.